AAGGAAGUGGCAGAGUGGUUAUGCAGUUGGCUUGAAACCAGAUCAUGGGGGUUCGAUUCCUCCCUUACUCG
RNAcentral lists this transfer RNA (71 nucleotides) under Photonectes margarita. RNAcentral's name for it is "tRNA-Ser". It matches the Rfam family "tRNA". Rfam says of the family: Transfer RNA (tRNA) molecules are approximately 80 nucleotides in length. Their secondary structure includes four short double-helical elements and three loops (D, anti-codon, and T loops). Further hydrogen bonds mediate the characteristic L-shaped molecular structure. tRNAs have two regions of fundamental functional importance: the anti-codon, which is responsible for specific mRNA codon recognition, and the 3' end, to which the tRNAs corresponding amino acid is attached (by aminoacyl-tRNA synthetases). tRNAs cope with the degeneracy of the genetic code in two manners: having more than one tRNA (with a specific anti-codon) for a particular amino acid; and 'wobble' base-pairing, i.e. permitting non-standard base-pairing at the 3rd anti-codon position. The record is from RNAcentral. Lineage: Eukaryota; Metazoa; Chordata; Actinopteri; Stomiiformes; Stomiidae.